This 19-nucleotide small nuclear RNA is filed under the name Arabidopsis thaliana (thale cress). Its description in RNAcentral is "snRNA_06453". Lineage: Eukaryota; Viridiplantae; Streptophyta; Magnoliopsida; Brassicales; Brassicaceae. The record is from RNAcentral.
UCGAAGUAAAACCUGCAGA